AGGGGCGUAGCUCAGUUGGAAGAGCGGCGGUCUCCAAAACCGCAGGUCGGGGGUUCGAGACCCUCCGCCCCUGCCA
Molecule: transfer RNA, 76 nt
Filed under: Dehalococcoidia bacterium
Lineage: Bacteria; Bacillati; Chloroflexota; Dehalococcoidia
Also listed under: 1 other name
Description: tRNA-Trp
Rfam family: tRNA
About the family: Transfer RNA (tRNA) molecules are approximately 80 nucleotides in length. Their secondary structure includes four short double-helical elements and three loops (D, anti-codon, and T loops). Further hydrogen bonds mediate the characteristic L-shaped molecular structure. tRNAs have two regions of fundamental functional importance: the anti-codon, which is responsible for specific mRNA codon recognition, and the 3' end, to which the tRNAs corresponding amino acid is attached (by aminoacyl-tRNA synthetases). tRNAs cope with the degeneracy of the genetic code in two manners: having more than one tRNA (with a specific anti-codon) for a particular amino acid; and 'wobble' base-pairing, i.e. permitting non-standard base-pairing at the 3rd anti-codon position.
Source: RNAcentral